GACGAACGCUGGCGGCGUGCCUAAUACAUGCAAGUCGAACGCUGAAGGAGGAGCUUGCUCUUCUGGAUGAGUUGCGAACGGGUGAGUAACGCGUAGGUAACCUGCCUGGUAGCGGGGGAUAACUAUUGGAAACGAUAGCUAAUACCGCAUAACAUUGACUAUUGCAUGAUAGUCAAUUAAAAGGUGCAAAUGCACCACUACCAGAUGGACCUGCGUUGUAUUAGCUAGUUGGUGGGGUAACGGCUCACCAAGGCGACGAUACAUAGCCGACCUGAGAGGGUGAUCGGCCACACUGGGACUGAGACACGGCCCAGACUCCUACGGGAGGCAGCAGUAGGGAAUCUUCGGCAAUGGACGGAAGUCUGACCGAGCAACGCCGCGUGAGUGAAGAAGGUUUUCGGAUCGUAAAGCUCUGUUGUAAGAGAAGAACGAGUGUGAGAGUGGAAAGUUCACACUGUGACGGUAUCUUACCAGAAAGGGACGGCUAACUACGUG
Molecule: ribosomal RNA, 495 nt
Filed under: uncultured bacterium
Lineage: Bacteria
Description: partial 16S ribosomal RNA
Rfam family: Bacterial small subunit ribosomal RNA
Source: RNAcentral